GCUCUGCUCACCUGCACUGGAUCUGCAAUCACACUCCUGCCAGCCAUCAUCCAAUCACCACAGCCUACAAGAACCCUGCACCAACAUCCAGUCCCUGCUGGAUCGUUAUGCCUACAUGGACCCUUCAGCUACAAGCUCUGCCACCGUCUUCACUCUCCUGCCUGUUGACCACCGUCUGGAUCCCUCAGCACCCCAGGACCCCACCAGCUAUCCCCUCACCCCUGCAUUUCAACAAUAAACUUUGGGAAAGACAGUCAUAGUCUGCUUUUUGGGUUCUGCUGUAAAUACGUGACAAAGCUAUGACCAAAGUAUAAACGUUUUAAAAAUUAAUUCAGCACAUAGACGUCUGCCAUGUUGCCACCACUCAAAAAUGUACUGCCCCCCUCUUGCCACCCCAUAAAUAUUUUUCUAGAUCCGCCCCUGAGUUGAUUUAUAUAUCAUUAAUCAGUAUGAUACAGUGGGUCUUUGUAUAAAUAAUCAAUAUAAUACAGUAGAUUUAUAUAUCA
Long non-coding RNA from Notolabrus celidotus (New Zealand spotty), 506 nucleotides. RefSeq lists it as uncharacterized. Lineage: Eukaryota; Metazoa; Chordata; Actinopteri; Labriformes; Labridae. The transcript is spliced from 2 exons. The record is from RefSeq and is a predicted model, not a curated record.